Venturia canescens is the source of this 722-nucleotide long non-coding RNA. RefSeq lists it as uncharacterized. NCBI's taxonomy places the organism in Eukaryota, Metazoa, Arthropoda, Insecta, Hymenoptera, Ichneumonidae. The transcript is spliced from 3 exons. The record is from RefSeq and is a predicted model, not a curated record.
AAAAUUUAGCGUUUAUCUCAUUAGUGGUCCACGCUUUGAAGUAGAGGAGGAAAAAACGAGAUCGAUCUAAUUAAUUGCACGAAUUUUCAGAGGUCCAUCGAUGAGAACGAUCAAUGACAAGGAGCAAAUGAAAAUUGUCGUGCUCGUAGUUCGAAGAAAACGAUUCAAAACAGAAUUUUCGAGUGUACUAAGAUGUGGUAAAGCUCGUGCCAGAUAAGAUGAUGUCAAAAAUUGCAACAAUUGUUUUUACAUCGAUGAUCCGGGCGGAAUAUGCGAACCUUGACAGAAGAAGCAAAUAAUUCGGAGAAUUUCAACUUGAAAUUGGCGAUGGGAGAUUAAAUGAUGAAGAUAAUAAAGUGAUGAUUCCAGAAAUAUGUAUUGCAUCUGCUGACUCUGAUAUCGUUGACGUCAUCUACGGGAAAUCAGUUAGGGAGAAGCAAUUUGAAAAAAUAGCGAAACCUGUAAUACUGUCGGCGAGAAAUAUUGAAGUUGAAGAAAUAAAUAAACGCGUUGUUCAGUUAUUUGAUGGUACAUCAAAACGAAUAUACACAAGUGUAGACAGCAUUGAAAACUAGAAUAAUGGUGAUACUUAUGAAGCUUUAUCGAAAAAGUAUUUGAAAUGGUCGACCAGCGUAUUGAGAUUCGAUUGAUGCAAUUUUUCACGACGCCGAGAUUAGUUCAUGUGCUAUAUUCUACACCUGCGAUUACCACCUUUUAUUAUA